RNAcentral lists this ribosomal RNA (1743 nucleotides) under Triticum aestivum (bread wheat). Its description in RNAcentral is "partial small subunit ribosomal RNA". The record is from RNAcentral. Lineage: Eukaryota; Viridiplantae; Streptophyta; Magnoliopsida; Poales; Poaceae.
AUGUGCUUGUCUUCGCGAAUGUUCGAUGGGAAGACACGCUCCUUCUCCAUUACUAGAAAGGCUUUCCCUGAAAGUAAAUACGUCCUCCCUGUCCCAAUCUCCCGCCUAGCCCACCGUCAUCUCCCCCUUCUCCUAUCCUAUGCAACCGUCUCGGGUCUUUUGCUCAAGGUACCCUUGCUCCACUCUGUCCUUCGCUCACUCUCCACAGGUCCUGUCCCAUCUCUCUCCCUCUCAUUCCUCUCCCUACUCCACCGGUCUGGCUACAUGCCCAUCGAUAACUACUCCCUUAGCGCUGCUCUUUCUACCGCCGCCCGCAUGCCCUCCGUUGUUGUUGGUGCCCAGCUCCAUACCCUUUCUGUGAAACUCGGCUUAAGUUCUGAUACCUUUGUCCUUAAUACUCUUAUCAAUAUGUACUCGUCUUGUAGUUAUCCAUCUACUGCAAGAUCAGUUCUUGAUUCUGCUCCCAAAGGAGCCUCUGAUACAGUUUCUUGGAAUACAAUCAUUGCUGGAUACGUACAUGCUGGGCUGCCUAAUAAGGCUUUGCAGGCUUUUAGCCAAAUGGCCAAGGCGCAAGUUAUGCUGGAUGAGGUCACCUUGCUGAAUGCUCUAGUUGCUUGUGCAAGGACAUGCAUGAUGAAGGUCGGAAAGCUCUGUCAUGCACUACUUGUGACAAAUGGUUUUGAGAUUAACUGUUAUAUGGGUUCCUCUUUGAUUAGUAUGUAUGCAAAGUGUGGGCUUGUUGAAGAUGCUCGCAGGGUUUUUGAUGGAUUGCCUGAGAGGAAUGCGGUUUGCUGGACCUCAAUGAUUUCUGGAUAUACACAGUUAGGUCAGUCUAAAGAGGCUGUUAAGCUAUUCAGAGAGAUGCAAAUUGCUGGAGUGAAAGUUGAUGAUGCAACAAUUGCUACUGUUGUAUCUUCAUGCGGCCAGAUGGGAGCACUGGACUUGGGACGGUAUGUCCAUGCUUACUGUGACAUUCAUGGUUUAGGGAAGGAUAUUUCUGUGAAAAAUUCAUUGAUUGACAUGUACUCAAAGUGUGGGGAUAUAAAUAAGGCCUAUGAUAUAUUUUGUGGAAUGGUCAAGCGGGAUGAUUUUUCCUGGACAGUGAUGAUAAUGGGCUUUGCUGCAAAUGGCCUCUCUGGUGAGGCAUUAGAUUUGUUUGCGCAGAUGGAAGAAGAGGGUGAAGUCAUGCCGAAUGAGAUAACUUUCUUGGGUGUCCUAACUUCUUGCAGCCAUGGAGGAUUAGUUGAACAAGGAUACCAUCACUUCCAUCGCAUGUCCAGUAUUUACGGUAUUGCCCCAAGGAUCGAACACUAUGGAUGCAUGGUUGAUCUCCUGGGCCGUGCUAAGUUAUUGGCAGAGGCAGAACAGUUCAUUAAAGAGAUGCCUAUCGCUCCUGAUGUUGUAAUGUGGCGGUCGUUGUUGUUUGCCUGCAGAGCCUGUGGAGAGGUGGGACUUGCAGAGUAUGUAGCAGAAAGGAUCCAAGUAUUGGAGCCAAACAGGUGUGGAGGGGACGUUUUACUUUCUACUGUCUAUGCAACCACAUCAAGGUGGGUUGAUGCAAACAAAGUGAGGACAGGAAUAUACAGUAGCAGAAAGACCAAGCAGCCUGGUUGCUCUUUCAUUGAAGUGGAUGGAUGCGUGCAUGAGUUCUUUGCAGGGGACGAGUCACAUUUUGAAACUGAAGCUAUAUACAACACUCUUUUGGGAAUUAAUGAACUGUUAGUAGCAGAGUCCUUCCUGAUG